This 548-nucleotide ribosomal RNA is filed under the name uncultured bacterium. RNAcentral describes it as "bacterial SSU rRNA". It matches the Rfam family "Bacterial small subunit ribosomal RNA", at positions 355 to 897 of the family's 1533-position model. The record is from RNAcentral.
UGGGGAAUAUUGCGCAAUGGGGGAAACCCUGACGCAGCGACGCCACGUGGGGGAUGAAGGCCUUCGGGUCGUAAACCUCUGUCAGAAGGGAAGAAACGCGCCAUUUCAAAUAGGCUUGGCGUUUGACGGUACCUUCAGAGGAAGCACCGGCUAACUCCGUGCCAGCAGCCGCGGUAAUACGGAGGGUGCGAGCGUUAAUCGGAAUCACUGGGCGUAAAGCGUACGUAGGCGGCGUGUCAAGUCAGGUGUGAAAGCCCUCGGCUCAACCGGGGAAUUGCACUUGAAACUGAUAUGCUAGAGUUCAGGAGGGGGUAGCGGAAUUCCCGGUGUAGGAGUGAAAUCCGUAGAUAUAGGGAGGAACACCAGUGGCGAAGGCGGCUACCUGGACAGUAACUGACGCUGAGGUACGAAAGUGUGGGGAGCAAACAGGAUUAGAUACCCUGGUAGUCCACACCGUAAACGAUGGAUGCUAGGUGUCGGGUGGCAACAUUCGGUGCCGAAGUCAACGCAUUAAGCAUCCCGCCUGGGGAGUACGGUCGCAAGGCUGA